GGUCACGAGUACCAGCGACAAGCCCCGGCUAGCUGGUCGGCAACCCUCCUCCGCGGUGGGGUGCUCCGGGUGACGACCAGGCCGCCGUCCGCAGUGGGCGCGGCAAGCGCGGACU
This 115-nucleotide non-coding RNA is filed under the name Nocardia asteroides. Its description in RNAcentral is "SAM-IV sequence". It matches the Rfam family "SAM (S-adenosyl methionine) riboswitch aptamer". Rfam says of the family: SAM-IV is a mRNA element that regulates gene expression via direct sensing of S-adenosylmethionine (SAM or AdoMet). SAM-IV riboswitches share conserved nucleotide positions with the previously described SAM-I riboswitches sequence analysis and molecular recognition experiments suggest that SAM-I and SAM-IV riboswitches share similar ligand binding sites, but have different scaffolds. The record is from RNAcentral. Lineage: Bacteria; Bacillati; Actinomycetota; Actinomycetes; Mycobacteriales; Nocardiaceae. RNAcentral also lists the same sequence under 1 other name.